AGGAUGAACGCUGGCGGCGUGCCUAAUACAUGCAAGUCGAGCGGUAAGGCCCCUUCGGGGGUACACGAGCGGCGGACGGCUGAGUAACACGUAGGAACGUACCCCAAACUGAGGGAUAAGCACCAGAAAUGGUGUCUAAUACCGCAUGUGGUCUUCGGAUUAAAGCUUCGGCGGUUUGGGAACGGCCUGCGCAUGAUUAGCUUGUUGGUGAGGUAAAAGCUUACCAAGGCGACGAUCAUUAGCUGGUCUGAGAGGAUGAUCAGCCAGACUGGGACUGAGAACGGCCCAGACUCCUACGGGAGGCAGCAGUAGGGAAUUUUCCACAAUGGGCGAAAGCCUGAUGGAGCAACGCCGCGUGCAGGACGAAGGCCUUCGGGUUGUAAACUGCUUUUAUAUGUGAAGAUUAUGACGGUAGCAUAUGAAUAAGGAUCGGCUAACUCCGUGCCAGCAGCCGC
This 455-nucleotide ribosomal RNA is filed under the name uncultured bacterium. RNAcentral describes it as "SSU rRNA". It matches the Rfam family "Bacterial small subunit ribosomal RNA", at positions 26 to 518 of the family's 1533-position model. The record is from RNAcentral.